UCUCCAUUUCUACUCCUGGGUGCUUCGGAAU
RNAcentral lists this non-coding RNA (31 nucleotides) under Rattus norvegicus (Norway rat). Lineage: Eukaryota; Metazoa; Chordata; Mammalia; Rodentia; Muridae. The record is from RNAcentral.